UGGGGAAUUUUGCGCAAUGGGCGAAAGCCUGACGCAGCAACGCCGCGUGGGUGAUGAAAUCCUUCGGGAUGUAAAACCCUGUCAGCUGGGACGAAACGUCCCGCAAGGGAAAUUGACUGUACCAGCAGAGGAAGCCCCGGCUAACUCCGUGCCAGCAGCCGCGGUAAUACGGAGGGGGCAAGCGUUGUUCGGAAUUACUGGGCGUAAAGGGCGUGUAGGCGGUUGGGUAAGUCAGUUGUGAAAUCCCCAAGCUUAACUUGGGAACUGCAACUGAAACUGCUCAUCUAGAGUUCAGGAGAGGAGAGCGGAACUCCCAGUGUAGCGGUGAAAUGCGUAGAUAUUGGGAGGAACACCGGUGGCGAAGGCGGCUCUCUGGACUGAAACUGACGCUGAGGCGCGAAAGCUAGGGGAGCAAACGGG
RNAcentral lists this ribosomal RNA (420 nucleotides) under uncultured bacterium. RNAcentral describes it as "bacterial SSU rRNA". It matches the Rfam family "Bacterial small subunit ribosomal RNA", at positions 355 to 776 of the family's 1533-position model. The record is from RNAcentral.